AAAAAUUUAGUUAAAAAAUAACAUUAGUUUGUCAAACUAAAAUUAUUAAAUAGUUAAUAGUUUUUA
Molecule: transfer RNA, 66 nt
Filed under: Helophorus sp. BMNH 724835
Lineage: Eukaryota; Metazoa; Arthropoda; Insecta; Coleoptera; Helophoridae
Description: tRNA-Asp
Source: RNAcentral